Molecule: non-coding RNA, 30 nt
Filed under: Mus musculus (house mouse)
Lineage: Eukaryota; Metazoa; Chordata; Mammalia; Rodentia; Muridae
Source: RNAcentral
UGAACAGAAAGUAUUCGGUAAAUUUAAAGU